RNAcentral lists this long non-coding RNA (379 nucleotides) under Dromaius novaehollandiae (emu). RNAcentral describes it as "lncRNA (ENSDNVG00000000769.1)". The record is from RNAcentral. Lineage: Eukaryota; Metazoa; Chordata; Aves; Casuariiformes; Dromaiidae.
GUGAGUAGGCCUGYGAGUGGAGAGGCUGCUUUGUGAAACUGUUUAACUUGAGACAUCAUUCACCUGUUCCCCUCUGCAAACAAUCCCAGGAAGCGUGAUGCAACUUCAGUAGACCUGUAGAGACUGUCCAGUUUGGCUGAGCUUAUCCUCUGAAGCAGUACCGGAAAGGAGAGGGGGCAUCGAAAUUUCCCUGGCCAGACCUUCAGCCUUUGUACAUCAUGGUUCAUCUUUUUCUGUCAUCACAUCAAGUGGCAUGACUUCAGCAUGGAGCUGGAAGAUGUUCAUGUCCCCUAGGACAGCUGUAUAGCCUCGGUUUAAGGAACUCUUCUGGGAGGUGGAAGAUAUCAUUUUGGACCUUUUCAGAAUAAGGUGGGUAGAG